UACCUUGAAUUACUGAAGGCGGCUAAUCUUGCAUGUUAUAUAAAAUAACCAGUUUACCCUCUCCAACUCUCAAAAUCCUUUCAAUACAUCAUUUUAAAAAUUUUAAUUUAAAAUUUUGAAUUGUAAUCUUUUAAACUUAAAAUUUUAAAAUUUUAAAAUUUAAAUUUUAAAUCUCAAACUUAAAUUUUUAAAUUUCAAAAAAUUUUAUAUUUUAAAUUUAAAUUUUAAACUUUAAACUUUAAAAUUUAAAAUUUAAAAUUUAAAAUAGUCUUUUAAAAUCAAAAUUUUAAAUUUUAAAUUUAAAAUUAUAUUUAAAUUAAGAUUUUAAAUUUAUAAAUUUUAUAUUUAUAUUUUACAUUAAAAUAUUAAAUUUUAUAUUUUUGUUCAAAUUUAAAAUUUAAAAUUUAAAAAAUUUAAAUUAUUUAAAAUAAAAUUGAUUAUAAAAAUAUUAUUUGUAAUCAGUAAAAAAAAAAAGUUUGCCAAAUAUGGCUAAGGGCAAUUUUGAAAUAAAUUAUAUUUUAUUGUCAAGAUUACUGAAUUUUAUAAACUGAACAAAAUAUAGUAAUGAUAUAAACUAAUCCAACAUUACAUUACUACUGUAUCAAACUACAUGCGCUAAUGUACUAUCAGUAGUAAUCUUAUUUAGAAAUUCAAAAUAUCUGGAUAUAUCGAAAUAUUCUGUAAUAUUACAUAACUUAAACCAAAUGUGAGUAUUCUUAAUUUAAGGGCAAAUAAGAAAAAUUGGUGAUGGUAGAGGGAUAUAUUUGAAAAGAUAAAAAAUCAGAAUAUUUCUUUUGCUCCUAGCUUAAGGAUAAAUAAGAAAAGUUUGUGAUAGUAGAAAUGUAUAUUUGAAAAGGUAAAAUAGUAAUUUUACACGACUAUUGCUAACCGUUCACUAAUAAAAUUUAACUUUAGGGGUAUAUUUGAAAUAACUUGAAACGUAAAAAGGAUAUUUUUAAUUAGGGCUGGCAAAUGAGUGAGCCAGCUCGUGUUCGACUCGCGUUCGGCUCGAUAUUCGGCUCGCUCGAGCUCGGUUCGA
RNAcentral lists this long non-coding RNA (1039 nucleotides) under Ananas comosus (pineapple). RNAcentral describes it as "long non-coding RNA (ACOM_LNC028024)". The record is from RNAcentral. Lineage: Eukaryota; Viridiplantae; Streptophyta; Magnoliopsida; Poales; Bromeliaceae.